UUCUAUCUGUCCGUGUGUUGGUUUAUCUUCCACAUAUGAGUGAAAUAAUGCACUGUUUGUCUUUCUCUUUCAGGCUUAUUUCACUUAACAUAAUACCCUCCAGGUCCAUCCAUGUUGCUGAAAAUGGGAUGAUUUUGUCUUUUUUGAUGGCUGAGUAGUAUUCCAUGGUGUAUAUAUACACCACAUCUUCUUUAUCCAUUCAUCAGUUGAGGGACAUGUGCUGCUUCCAUGUCUCGGCUAUGGUGAAUAAUGCUGCAAUGAACAUAGGAGUGCAUGAGCCUCUUUGGAUUGUUGAUUUCAGCUCUUCCUGUGUCUUUGGGGCCACAGUGUCUCAGGAAGAAGGAACUCACAACCAGGCGGUGAUCUGAAACUGAAACCUCCAAGGAAGAGGACCAAUUGCACUGAUGGGGGCUGAGAAGAAGCUCGUCUAGGAUGUGAUGUUUUGACCUCGUGAUCAGGGAUUGUCCAGAGCCCCCUUGAGUUAAGGCUUGUAGGCAUCUGAAGCAGCUUUGCUGGUCAACUGAGGGGUCUGCUCAUCAUAGGCAUCAGAGACUCAAGCUGACACAGCCUCUAUCUCAACUCAUUUCCAUGAUUGUUGCAUGAAGAGAGAGGAACAAGCUGAAUCACUCACUGACCCUUAAAGUUUCUACCAAGAAGUAACCUAUGUCAAUUCUACUCAUUUUUCAUUAGCCAAAGCAAGUCACGUGGCCAUGCCUAACUUCAAAAGGGUGAGGGAAUUGCAAUUCUACCAUGUGCCUGAAGGAGGAAAGCCAGAAAUAAAUGGUAAAUAGCAUUUAUGACUACCAUGGUAUCUUAUUAGAAAUAUGGGCCCUGGUACAUCAACGUGUGGCAUAGUCAAAA
This is a long non-coding RNA of Diceros bicornis minor, 861 nucleotides long. RefSeq lists it as uncharacterized. The transcript is spliced from 3 exons. NCBI's taxonomy places the organism in Eukaryota, Metazoa, Chordata, Mammalia, Perissodactyla, Rhinocerotidae. The record is from RefSeq and is a predicted model, not a curated record.